This 102-nucleotide ribosomal RNA is filed under the name Trophurus wuhuensis. RNAcentral describes it as "partial 28S ribosomal RNA". It matches the Rfam family "Eukaryotic large subunit ribosomal RNA", at positions 1 to 98 of the family's 3401-position model. Lineage: Eukaryota; Metazoa; Nematoda; Chromadorea; Rhabditida; Telotylenchidae. The record is from RNAcentral.
AUUUCGACCUGAACUCAGUCGUGAGUACCCGCUGAACUUAAGCAUAUCAGUAAGCGGAGGAAAAGAAACUAACGAGGAUUCCCUUAGUAACGGCGAGUGAAA